AACUUGCAUGAUUUACACAUGAUUUCUAAUAUGAAUAUGUUACCGUUUAUUUUAAGUUGCAUGUGGGACAAGUCUUUUACUCGAUAUAAUACCGAAAUAGUUAUUUGAGAUGAAUAUCGUGAUUUUAAGUAUUCUCACUGUCACUAUAUAUGUUGUACCGUUACUUGAAUUUACUCUUAUCAAAAAGAAAUUAUAUGAUUUGAUAAGAACCGAAAGGCCCUAUAUUGUUUUGAAAUAUUUUCUACGAGUAUAUAGGGAUUGCAGAGACAAGUAUAAAUGGGAGUAGACUUUGAAGGAUCCCAUAGCUAACGGCGGGUUCGUUAGACCUGAUGCACCUUACCGAUUUCCCUCGAGCAGGGACUACCGUUAUAUUCUUCUUGCGAAGAAGUCCACAGUUAUACCGAUUACAUGAUCCGUUUAUUGAAACCUCCCAAACAAAUGUGAAUACUGAUAUUAUACAGUGGUUACCGAGCUUAUUACUGAAUUGUAUUUGUAUUAUACUACAAGAAAAGUAUGAUGAGGCUGAAAAUUAUUUAUUGUUUUUGAAAGGGCAUUUUUAUAUUGUUUUUUGUUUGAUAUACUAGCAUAUUUUCUGACUUGUUCCCAAAUUAAAACGAUUGUGAUUAAGUGUUAUUACUCAC
Molecule: long non-coding RNA, 641 nt
Filed under: Nicotiana benthamiana
Lineage: Eukaryota; Viridiplantae; Streptophyta; Magnoliopsida; Solanales; Solanaceae
Description: long non-coding RNA (NBEN_LNC034642)
Source: RNAcentral